Molecule: small nuclear RNA, 104 nt
Filed under: Bison bison bison
Lineage: Eukaryota; Metazoa; Chordata; Mammalia; Artiodactyla; Bovidae
Source: RNAcentral
GUGCUCGCCUCGGCAGCACAGAUACUAAAAUUGGAAUGAUACAGAGAUUAGCAUGGCCCCUGCUCAAGGAUGACACGCAAAUUCGUGAAGUGUUCCGUACUUAA